This 119-nucleotide ribosomal RNA is filed under the name Petromyzon marinus (sea lamprey). Lineage: Eukaryota; Metazoa; Chordata; Hyperoartia; Petromyzontiformes; Petromyzontidae. The record is from RNAcentral.
GCCUACGACCAUAUCACCCUGAAUGCGCCUGAUCUCGUCUGAUCUCGGAAGCUAAGCAUGGUCGAGCCUGGUUAGUACUUGGAUGGGAGACUGCAUGGGAAUACCAGGUGUUGUAGGCU